AUGAGUGGAUUAUCUCAUUGAAGCCUAUGAUGGAACGUAUACCAAAGGAAUCGUCCGGAGGAAAAGUACUGGAAAUGUUCGAAAAAGUUGCCAAAGAGGCGGACAAAUACAUCGCAAAAGUCCGUGGCUACAAGGACGUCAAGAAGAGGUUUAAAAGUAAACGCAUCAGAAUGAAGUUGGAAGAUUUUCGCGUGAGGAUUACAGACGUCGUUGAAUGCUGCGAAGGCUCGCAGUCGCUCUGCUGUUACUUCAGACCAACGAUCAUAUAGGAGGCAUAUAACAGCCAUGCAGCCUAUGGAGGCCCUCUAC
Molecule: long non-coding RNA, 309 nt
Organism: Priapulus caudatus
Lineage: Eukaryota; Metazoa; Priapulida; Priapulimorpha; Priapulimorphida; Priapulidae
Exons: 4
Source: RefSeq, a predicted model, not a curated record